This 229-nucleotide unclassified non-coding RNA is filed under the name plant metagenome. Its description in RNAcentral is "partial contains small subunit ribosomal RNA, internal transcribed spacer 1, and 5.8S ribosomal RNA". The record is from RNAcentral.
GCUCCGUAGGUGAACCUGCGGAGGGAUCAUUACAGAGUUCAUGCUCUACCGGGUAGAUCUCCCACCCUAUGUUAUUAUUACUUUGUUGCUUUGGCGGGCCGUUAGGCUCCGGCCCGACUACCGGCCCCGGCUGGUAAGCGCCCGCCAGAGGACCCAAAACCCUGAAUAUUAGUGUCGUCUGAGUACUAUAUAAUAGUUAAAACUUUCAACAACGGAUCUCUUGGUUCUG